This 373-nucleotide ribosomal RNA is filed under the name uncultured organism. RNAcentral's name for it is "bacterial SSU rRNA". It matches the Rfam family "Bacterial small subunit ribosomal RNA", at positions 526 to 896 of the family's 1533-position model. The record is from RNAcentral.
CAGAGGUCCCAAGCGUUGUUCGGAUUCAUUGGGCGUAAAGGGUGCGUAGGUGGCAUGGUAAGUCGGGUGUGAAAUCCCCGGGGCUCAACCCCGGAACUGCACUCGAUACUACCGUGCUCGAGUACUGGAGAGGAGACUGGAAUUUACGGUGUAGCAGUGAAAUGCGUAGAUAUCGUAAGGAAGACCGGUGGCGAAGGCUAGUCUCUGGACAGUUACUGACACUGAGGCACGAAGGCCAGGGGAGCAAGCGGGAUUAGAUACCCCGGUAGUCCUGGCAGUAAACGGUGCGCGUUUGGUGUGGGAGGAUUCGACCCCUUCCGUGCCGGAGCUAACGCGUUAAACGCGCCGCCUGGGGAAUACGAUCGCAAGAUUA